Molecule: unclassified non-coding RNA, 475 nt
Filed under: Hevea brasiliensis (rubber tree)
Lineage: Eukaryota; Viridiplantae; Streptophyta; Magnoliopsida; Malpighiales; Euphorbiaceae
Source: RNAcentral
AUUUGAUCAAACAUGCUGAAGAUGGUAUUCUUGAUCUUAAUAAAGCUGCUGACACUUUGGAGGUGCAAAAGCGGCGGAUUUAUGACAUAACAAAUGUUCUCGAAGGAAUUGGUCUCAUAGAAAAGAAGCUCAAGAACAGAAUUCAGUGGAAGGGACUUGAUGUCUCAAGGCCAGGGGAAGCGGAUGAGAAUGUUGCUAGUUUGCAGGCAGAAGUUGAAAACCUUAACAUUGAGGAGCACAGAUUAGAUGAACAAAUAAGAGAAAUGCAAGAAAGAUUAAGGGACCUCAGUGAAGAUGAAAAUAAUCAAAAGUGGCUUUUUGUUACUGAGGAAGACAUCAAGAGCUUACCCUGCUUUCAGAAUGAAACCUUGAUAGCAAUUAAAGCUCCACAUGGCACUACUCUGGAAGUCCCAGAUCCUGAUGAGCAGGCUGUUGACUAUCCCCAGAGGAGAUACAGGAUAGUCCUUAGAAGUAC